GUUAAAGCUUAAUUUGGUAUAUGACUAAUUUCCCUCUCCAAAACUAUAUCUGUCUCCACAGGGUCAGACACGGGCACAGUGCUUAAUCCAAGACGAAAAAAGAAAACGUCAGAGGCACCAAAGCAUCUGCCUGUGAGGAAAAAGACACCAAUAAACUGCUCCUACCACUCUCGUCUAGAGGCUUUCCCCAUCAGACGAGUUGUAAAAGAAAGAGUGAGAAA
Molecule: long non-coding RNA, 221 nt
Organism: Dicentrarchus labrax (European seabass)
Lineage: Eukaryota; Metazoa; Chordata; Actinopteri; Moronidae
Exons: 3
Source: RefSeq, a predicted model, not a curated record